AAUAUUGCGCAAUGGAGGGAACUCUGACGCAGCGACGCCGCGUGAGCGAUGAAGGUUUUCGGAUCGUAACGCUCUGUCCUUGGGGAAGAAGGCGGCCAUUUUUGGCCACUUGACGGUACCCAAGGAGGAAGCCCCGGCUAACUACGUGCCAGCAGCCGCGGUAAUACGGAGGAUCCAAGCGUUAUCCGGAUUUAUUGGGUUUAAAGGGUGCGCAGGCGGAAGAUUAAGUCGGCGGUGAAAUUUUGCAGCUCAACUGUAAAAGUGCCAUCGAUACUGGUUUUCUUGAGUGUGGAUGAAGUAGGCGGAAUUUGUGGUGUAGCGGUGAAAUGCAUAGAUAUCACGAGGAACUCCGAUUGCGCAGGCAGCUUACUAGGCCAUAACUGACGCUCAGGCACGAAGGCGUGGGGAUCAAACA
Molecule: ribosomal RNA, 415 nt
Filed under: uncultured bacterium
Lineage: Bacteria
Description: partial 16S ribosomal RNA
Rfam family: Bacterial small subunit ribosomal RNA
Source: RNAcentral